Molecule: ribosomal RNA, 774 nt
Filed under: uncultured Neocallimastigales
Lineage: Eukaryota; Fungi; Neocallimastigomycota; Neocallimastigomycetes; Neocallimastigales
Description: partial large subunit ribosomal RNA
Rfam family: Eukaryotic large subunit ribosomal RNA
Source: RNAcentral
UAUGUGAUCGUCUCUUGCAUAUCAAUAAGCGGAGGAAAAGAAACUAACAAGGAUUCCCCUAGUAACGGCGAGUGAAGCGGGAAGAGCUCAAAUUUGAAAUCUUAAAGGGUUUCCCUUUACGAAUUGUAGUUUAAAGAAGUGUUUUCUGUUGAGGUUUUGGUAAAAGUUCUUUGGAAUAGGACAUCAUAGAGGGUGAGAAUCCCGUAUUUGACCUUUACUUUCAACUUUGUGAUACACUUUCAAAGAGUCGGAUUGUUUGGGAAUGCAGUCCAAAAUGGGUGGUAAAUUUCAUCUAAAGCUAAAUAUUGGCGAGAGACCGAUAGCGAACAAGUACCGUGAGGGAAAGAUGAAAAGAACUUUGAAAAGAGAGUUAAACAGUACGUGAAAUUGUCAAAAGGGAAGCGUUUGACACCAGUGUUGUUUUUCUGAAAAUCAAUUAAAGAACUGUUUAUGCUAAGCUGUUUAGACUUUAUCAGCUAACUGUUUAGUUUUGAGCUUUUCUUUAAUGCACUUUUCAGUUAACAAGUCAACAUCAAUUUCUUUUGCUGUAAAAAAGCUUGAGGAAGGUGGCUUGAGAUUCGUCUUAAGUGUUUAUAGCCUCUUGCCUAUGCAGUCGGAGAGAUUGAGGUCUGCAGCGUAGAUCCUUCGGGGCUAAAUGCAUUUGUGCUAAGUUAUAGCAUUUUAUAGACAACUUGUUGACUAUGAUUUGUCUUGUAGCUUACUCGCUUAUGUUAUUUUACCUACGCUUAGGAUGUUGAUCUACAGAGCGAGAGU